This 447-nucleotide ribosomal RNA is filed under the name uncultured bacterium. Its description in RNAcentral is "partial 16S ribosomal RNA". It matches the Rfam family "Bacterial small subunit ribosomal RNA", at positions 29 to 523 of the family's 1533-position model. The record is from RNAcentral.
AACGAACGCUGGCGGCAGGCUUAACACAUGCAAGUCGAGCGCCCCGCAAGGGGAGCGGCAGACGGGUGAGUAACGCGUGGGAAUCUACCCAUCUCUGCGGAACAACUCCGGGAAACUGGAGCUAAUACCGCAUACGCCCUUCGGGGGAAAGAUUUAUCGGGGAUGGAUGAGCCCGCGUUGGAUUAGCUAGUUGGUGGGGUAAAGGCCUACCAAGGCGACGAUCCAUAGCUGGUCUGAGAGGAUGAUCAGCCACAUUGGGACUGAGACACGGCCCAAACUCCUACGGGAGGCAGCAGUGGGGAAUAUUGGACAAUGGGCGCAAGCCUGAUCCAGCCAUGCCGCGUGAGUGAUGAAGGCCUUAGGGUUGUAAAGCUCUUUCACCGAUGAAGAUAAUGACGGUAGUCGGAGAAGAAGCCCCGGCUAACUUCGUGCCAGCCGCCGCGGUAA